RNAcentral lists this ribosomal RNA (467 nucleotides) under uncultured bacterium. RNAcentral describes it as "partial 16S ribosomal RNA". It matches the Rfam family "Bacterial small subunit ribosomal RNA", at positions 28 to 507 of the family's 1533-position model. The record is from RNAcentral.
GAUGAACGCUGGCGGCGUGCUUAACACAUGCAAGUCGAACGGAAAGGCCCAAGCUUGCUUGGGUACUCGAGUGGCGAACGGGUGAGUAACACGUGGGUGAUCUGCCCUGCACUUCGGGAUAAGCCUGGGAAACUGGGUCUAAUACCGGAUAGGACCACUUCUUGGAUGUUGUGGUGGAAAGUUUUUUCGGUGUGGGAUGAGCUCGCGGCCUAUCAGCUUGUUGGUGGGGUAAUGGCCUACCAAGGCGUCGACGGGUAGCCGGCCUGAGAGGGUGUACGGCCACAGUGGGACUGAGAUACGGCCCAGACUCCUACGGGAGGCAGCAGUGGGGAAUAUUGCACAAGGGGCGCAAGCCUGACGCAGCGACGCCGCGUGGGGGAUGACGGCCUUCGGGUUGUAAACUCCUUUCGCUAGGGACGAAGCGUUUUGUGACGGUACCUGGAGAAGAAGCACCGGCUAACUACGUG